Molecule: transfer RNA, 76 nt
Filed under: Rhodospirillaceae bacterium
Lineage: Bacteria; Pseudomonadati; Pseudomonadota; Alphaproteobacteria; Rhodospirillales; Rhodospirillaceae
Also listed under: 1 other name
Description: tRNA-Val
Rfam family: tRNA
About the family: Transfer RNA (tRNA) molecules are approximately 80 nucleotides in length. Their secondary structure includes four short double-helical elements and three loops (D, anti-codon, and T loops).
Source: RNAcentral
GGGCGGUUAGCUCAGCUGGGAGAGCAACUGGUUUACACCCAGUAGGUCGGCGGUUCGAACCCGUCACCGCCCACCA